GUUUCGGAGUCACCUAGAAACCCUUACGCUACUUUCGCCAUGUCUGUCUGUCUGUCUGUCCGAGGCUUUGCUCCGUGAUCGUUAGUGCUAGAAAGCUGCAAUUUGGCAUGGAUACAUAAAUCAUGCAUUGCGACAGAAUGGUAAAAUAAAA
Molecule: long non-coding RNA, 151 nt
Organism: Cydia fagiglandana
Lineage: Eukaryota; Metazoa; Arthropoda; Insecta; Lepidoptera; Tortricidae
Exons: 2
Source: RefSeq, a predicted model, not a curated record